UCCCACAAUGCACUCCCGCAGCUGCCCUGGUCUGUCAAUGCUCAGACAAGGUGGUGUAUUCUUCCAUUCAACAAAUAUUUCUUGAGUGCCUGCCAUGACAAGUCCUGGGUUCUGCAUGAUUGGGAAUGAGAUCUACACACUGCCUGCCUCAGGGAGCUCUCAGUUGAGUGUCACUAAGUGAAUACCUGAAGUGAAGUUGCUGGAUCAGGGUGCAGUCAGCUUCUUCUGGACCACACGACUGAAGUGGGUGACAGAUGGUUUCUCAAGGAAGAUUGGGUGUUAUCAUCAGAAGGGAGAUGGAAGACGGAACGAAUCAGCUCUACCUCUCAGGAUUGGUGGGAGGAUCCAGUGGACUCCUGUAUGUCAUAUACAGGCACAGGGCACCCCUGCAACAAACGGUGACAAUGAUGAUGAUGAAGGAGAAGAAAGAACCAGCCACGGGGGAGCAAAUGACCAGCCGAGUCCUGUUCCUUGGGGCGCUCUGGGCUUGGCCUGUGCGUGGGGCCGUGUGCUCAGGCUGGGCAGAUGCAGGCAAGGGGAGGCCAGGAUGGAGUGCAGAGGCCAAGGGCAACAUCAGCCCCAUCAGCCUGGACUUGAGCUCUUCUGGCCCCAGUGGGCUCAGGGAACCCCAAACGAACACGUCAUCCCGUCAUCCAUACUGAAGCUACCCACAAUAAGGGAGGCUGGGGCUCUGGGUCAUGCCAGAGGGCCCCAGAAAGUGAGACUGUGCCAAUGCUGCCCUUAGUAGAUCCCCUCCGAACCUCAGGUUCCCCAUCGGUUAAGGGAUUCUGGUCAGGCUCUAUGGGGGC
RNAcentral lists this long non-coding RNA (809 nucleotides) under Equus asinus (donkey). RNAcentral's name for it is "lncRNA (ENSEASG00005030104.1)". Lineage: Eukaryota; Metazoa; Chordata; Mammalia; Perissodactyla; Equidae. The record is from RNAcentral.